This 159-nucleotide microRNA precursor is filed under the name Pelobates cultripes (western spadefoot toad). The record is from RNAcentral. Lineage: Eukaryota; Metazoa; Chordata; Amphibia; Anura; Pelobatidae.
GCUGACACAUCCCUGCCAAUCUCCGGCAGACCCUCCCUCCCAGACCCUCCCACCUCCUGGACAGCAUCCAUGUUGAAGCUGCCUUCAACAUGGAUGCUGUCCAGGAAGUAGGAGGGUCUGGGAGGGAGGGUCUGCUGGAGAUUGGCUGGGAUGUGUCAG